GCCAGCGUGGCAGAAUCUGGUAAUGCGUUAGUCUCGAAAACUAAUGCCCUCACGGGCUCGCAGGUUCAAAUCCUGCCGCUGGCG
RNAcentral lists this transfer RNA (84 nucleotides) under Candidatus Woesearchaeota archaeon. RNAcentral's name for it is "tRNA-Ser". It matches the Rfam family "tRNA". From Rfam's summary of the family: Transfer RNA (tRNA) molecules are approximately 80 nucleotides in length. Their secondary structure includes four short double-helical elements and three loops (D, anti-codon, and T loops). The record is from RNAcentral. RNAcentral also lists the same sequence under 1 other name. Lineage: Archaea; Nanobdellati; Candidatus Woesearchaeota.